AUCCAGCUGAUGAGUCCCAAAUAGGAUGAAAUGUGCGUUUAAGUGGAU
This 48-nucleotide non-coding RNA is filed under the name Schistosoma margrebowiei. The record is from RNAcentral. Lineage: Eukaryota; Metazoa; Platyhelminthes; Trematoda; Strigeidida; Schistosomatidae.